UUUUUGCUCAAAUUUUGAGAACCACUGGAUCUUUUCUGGAUUUUCUUUCUUGUAAUGAAUAGCCUAUUUGGCGCAGAAAAAUGUGGUGUUGACAGUGACAAUUGUCACUGUCGUAUCAUUGUUCACUGGUUCGAUAUAUAAAAGGUUUCUCAACUAUAAAAACAACAACAAAAAAAUACCUAAUAAAAUAUUCUUUAAUAGGUUCACAGAUCUUUACAAUUUUAUUUUUUACCGCUCUUCAUAGUGAAAAUGGACUAGAAAAAGCAUAAUUUUCUUGCCACAGCUUACACCUUUAAUAGUUCAUCAAAACCACUUCAUUAAUAUGUUACUAUAAUAACUAAUAAUUACACAUUAAAUUACCACAACUGUAUGAAGAAUUUUAAAAUCUCUUAAGUUUGCAAAUUUCUCAAAGAUUCUAACUAUACCAGGUAUGGAGCUGUGACAAAAUCACAGUUUUUUAAAUAACCCAACUUGAUGAUCAGUAAUCUUCUCGAACUUGGCUAAUAUGCCACUCUUCAGGUUCAAGAAUGUCGUGUUUUUUCUUCAGGUGUCUUUUGACGUCGUGUUUUCUUUUCGUCGUGUAGGUGCAAGGAGUGAGGGAACAGAAAUACUUGAUUUUACCACAGUCGUGAGCCCGAUGUGAAGAUAGAGAUCCCGCAGUCUCGUAGCGCUUGUUACAUUUGUCACAUACGUAAGUAUAGUCUAAAAAUAAUCAAAGUAAUAUGAGUAAAGGUUGUGCUGCUGUUAUGGGGACACGAUGUCCGUUGAAAGCUCCGUCAUUCAACAUUGCCCGUUAGACAAAAAAUGGACGAAGGCCAACUUGACAGUGUACGACCUGUGUCACUGUGACAGUUAGUCAAAUUUUAUGUUGUCCGAUCGCGACCAAAUUUGGUGGGUAGGCUAUGUGAGCGGCGACGCACAAUGGUUCCGAUAUGGCAAAAAGUGACGCAUAUCGGUUAAAAUUCAUAUCUGAUAAAUCUCACUUUUAAUAACAUAUUUCAAAUACGCACCCGAUAAACCAUUUAUCACUAUCUUGUCUAUGUUUUUUGUUGAUUAGUUUUUGAUGGCGAGCAUUUUUAAGAUUUUUAUCAUUUGUACACUUUGUAAAUCGAACGGAGGUCAGCAUUAAGAUAAAUUUUGGUGUUUUAUCAAAUCAACAAUAAUACGUGUGAAAAGUAAUACAACCAUGGAGGAAGGCCAUUCAGGUAAAGUAAGUCUUUGUAGAACCCCUCCUACUUUUUAGUUCAAUAUUUAGACCCGCCAUGACCCGCCGAAAUAGAAUUUUUACCUAAUAUUGGUUUCGAUUUAAAAAAAUACGAACUGGCGACUCCCAAUUUAUACUAAAUUUUUUGAUGCCAGAUAGAAAAAGAAACAUUUGGUUAUUUCUUCUGGCGUCUAUUCAUCAAUUGAAAAACACCUGACAUUUUAGGUAACAUCAGUCGUAUGAAUUUAUGUAAACGUUUUCUUAAGAAUGGAUUCAAUGGAAAAUCGGAAGCUGAAAUUUUGGAAGAAAUUACCCUAUAUCUAACCAAUUAUUGUGAUAUUUACAACACGGAGCAAGAAUCCGCUAAGAAAAUACUCAAAUCAUUCAUUCAAAAAUGGACCAAAAGAUGGAGAGAUUCAUCUUAUUCUUGGCAAAAAUUUAGUUUGAAAAAUGUUGAAUGUUUAGAAAAAAAUGUAUUCAGUGACGUAGCUAUAGACGAAAAUUUGCAAUGCACUGGGGAAUCCAUGAAAAAGAAAAUGUUUUUCCGAUUUAUCCAAAUCUCAAAAAGACCGAACUACGAAAGGUGAUUUUUUUAUUUCAAUUUUGUGUACUGUAUUUACCGUAUAUUAUAUACUUCAUUAUAGACGUCAGAGAUAAUUAUACUUCAGAUAUCCUGGCUUACGCAACCGUUUCUGUUCUUAAAAAGGAACAUAAACAUGAUGUUGCUAAAGCAGUUUCAGCCGCUAUUUCUUCUCCUGAUGAAGUGUUGGCUGCUUUGAAACAAAAUAUUCCCCUAAUAAAAAGUUGAGCUAUCCUAUUUUAAAUCCUGAUGAUUUUACUGAAACUGUAGGGUAUGAAGAUUGUAAACCUGAAAUUUAUGAGCCUUUUUUCCUACCAACUACAUCAAUAUGUUACUACAUAUCAAAUUUUAUCUAAAUUUCGUCGAGUUUUUAGACUUAGACUAGAAUUUGGAGGAGCCUAAUCUAUAUUUUUGAUAAAUUACAUUUUCAAAUUUUAGCUUAUGUCGACCAAUGAGAAUUGCUUUCUGCAAGGAAGACUGUAAUACAGUUCUAACAGAGUAUUCUAGAGUGAUGAAGGAAAUUGUGGAAAUAAAGGACAGUAAAAUAAAAAUUAAUAAUAGUGUAGAAGUCAUUGUAAGACAUAGAUUCUACUGUACAACGGUAGAUGGAAAAAUAAUAAAUGCGGUGUGCAAAAAUGCUGCAACUUCGGUAAAUGAGUUUUUGUUAAAAUAUAAUAUUUUAAAACUUUCUGCAUAAUAUUUAAGUACUUUUAGAGAUGCCCUGGUUGUCUAGCUGGACCAAAAACUUUGAAUAAUUUGCCGAGCCAAACCAAUGCAGAUGUUUUGAAAUUUGGAAUAUCCCCUUUGCAUGCAAAAAUUAACUCCAUGGAAUUUUUACUGAGAUGUUCAUACAAGUAUGUAUAUUAGAUGAGAGAAUUAAACAUUGUUAGUUAGAUGAGAAGUUGCUGUCAUGUCAGCAAGCAUUAUCCAUCUAUAUUUAAUUUAUUUUUAGACUGGCCUCUACGUAGGAAGAACAAGAAACUAAAAAGAAAAUAAUACAAAAGCAGUUUAAAGAGGAAACUGGUUUAAACAUAGGUAAACUAAAACCAGGGUUUGGUAUUUCCCAUGACGGAAAUACACAGCUAGGAGAUUUUUUCAGAACUCGAAAGUUACAUCUGAAAUUAUAGGGAUAGAGUUACCUAUUAUUGAAAGGUUCUCGAAUGUCCUAGCUGCGAUAUCAUGCAACAGAAUUAUUUCACCUGAGUCUUAUGAAAAUUAUGUACAUGAAACUGCUGAACUUUUUCACAAAACCUACCCUCAAUUCAUGUUUUCACCAACAGUUCAUUCAGAAUUCUUUACCAUGGACAUGAGUACAUGAAACAAUUUCCUUUCAUUCCAGUAGGAGCAUUGAGUGAAGAAC
Molecule: long non-coding RNA, 3144 nt
Organism: Sitophilus oryzae (rice weevil)
Lineage: Eukaryota; Metazoa; Arthropoda; Insecta; Coleoptera; Curculionidae
Exons: 2
Source: RefSeq, a predicted model, not a curated record